CGGAGGGUGCAAGCGUUAUCCGGAUUCACUGGGUUUAAAGGGUGCGUAGGUGGGCAAGUAAGUCAGUGGUGAAAUCUCCGGGCUUAACCCGGAAACUGCCAUUGAUACUAUUUGUCUUGAAUACUGUGGAGGUCAGCGGAAUAUGUCAUGUAGCGGUGAAAUGCUUAGAUAUGACAUAGAACACCAAUUGCGAAGGCAGCUGGCUACACAAAUAUUGACACUGAGGCACGAAAGCGUGGGGAUCAAACAGGAUUAGAUACCCUGGUAGUCCACGCCCUAAACUAUGGAUACUCGGCAUUUGCGAUAAACUGCAAGUGUCUGAGCGAAAGCAUUAAGUAUCCCACCUGGGAAGUACGAUCGCAAGAUUG
Molecule: ribosomal RNA, 368 nt
Filed under: uncultured organism
Description: bacterial SSU rRNA
Rfam family: Bacterial small subunit ribosomal RNA
Source: RNAcentral